UACAGAGGGUGCGAGCGUUAAUCGGAUUUACUGGGCGUAAAGGGCGCGUAGGCGGUUAAAUGAGUGUGAUGUGAAAGCCCAGGGCUUAACCUUGGAAGUGCAUCGCAAACGAUUUAGCUAGAGUAUAUGAGAGGGUGGUGGAAUUUCCGGUGUAGCGGUGAAAUGCGUAGAGAUCGGAAGGAACGUCAAUGGCGAAGGCAGCCACCUGGCAUAAUACUGACGCUGAGGCGCGAAAGCGUGGGGAGCAAACAGG
Molecule: ribosomal RNA, 253 nt
Filed under: uncultured bacterium
Lineage: Bacteria
Description: partial 16S ribosomal RNA
Rfam family: Bacterial small subunit ribosomal RNA
Source: RNAcentral